This 172-nucleotide non-coding RNA is filed under the name Heterosigma akashiwo. Lineage: Eukaryota; Raphidophyceae; Chattonellales; Chattonellaceae. The record is from RNAcentral.
AUGCUGUUGAAUUGGGCGGAUACCUGUUUCUGUUUAUUGUACGAAAUUUAUUUUAGACAUUGAAAUGGGAUAGGGGGUUAUAUAAUAUUUUUCAAAUACUUCUUUCAAAUUACAAAUUGGCAUUUCUUCUUUGAAAAUGAGCAUGAGCUUUAGAGACAGGCCUGGCUCCGGG